RNAcentral lists this ribosomal RNA (253 nucleotides) under uncultured bacterium. Its description in RNAcentral is "partial 16S ribosomal RNA". It matches the Rfam family "Bacterial small subunit ribosomal RNA", at positions 524 to 776 of the family's 1533-position model. The record is from RNAcentral.
UACGGAGGGUGCAAGCGUUAUCCGGAUUCACUGGGUUUAAAGGGUGCGUAGGAGGGCAGGUAAGUCAGUGGUGAAAUCUCCGAGCUUAACUUGGAAACUGCCGUUGAUACUAUCUGCCUUGAAUAUUGUGGAGGUGAGCGGAAUAUGUCAUGUAGCGGUGAAAUGCUUAGAUAUGACAUAGAACACCAAUUGCGAAGGCGGCUCGCUACACAUAUAUUGACACUGAGGCACGAAAGCGUGGGGAUCAAACAGG